RNAcentral lists this long non-coding RNA (1232 nucleotides) under Danio rerio (zebrafish). RNAcentral describes it as "lncRNA si:ch211-160d14.9 (ENSDARG00000096599.2)". The record is from RNAcentral. Lineage: Eukaryota; Metazoa; Chordata; Actinopteri; Cypriniformes; Danionidae.
UGGCGAUGCUGGUUCAAGCCUCAACUCAGUCAGUUGGUGUUUUUGUGUGGAGUUUGCAUGUUCUCCCUGCGUUCGUGUGGGUUUCCUCCGGUUGCUUCAACUUCCCCCACAGUCCAAAGACACGCGGAACAGUGGCAACGCUGGUUCGAGCCUCGGCUGGGUCAGUUGGUGUUUCUAUGUGGAGUUUGCAUGUUCUCCCUGCGUUCGAGUGGGUUUCCUCCGGUUGCUUCGACGUCCCCCACAGUCUGAAGACACGAGAACAGGCACAGCUUUAACACAACAGCAGCCUUUUCAAAGUGGACAGAAUUCUUUGAGAUUCAAUCUAAAGCUAAGUAUUUUGUUUCAGUUGUUUGUAGUGCCUUAUAAUAUAGUCACAUUUUCAGCAUAAUGUUAAAUCUUAGUCUCAUUCAAGUGUUUUUUUUUUUUUAUGUUUUUACUACCAGAAGACCCAAGAAGAUGUUGACUGAGAAAACAAAUGUCCUGCAGUAUUGUUGAGGAAGACAUCUACCUAACUAUAUAUUGGAGAAGACCAGGUGUAUGCGCACUACGGCAUUGCAGAAUGAUGGACCAGAGGAAGAACAUCUCUACUACGGAGGUAUUCUGAAACAAGAGAAGACCAGGGCGUUUGGCAUUGCACACCACGGCAUUGCAGGAUGACGGACCAGAGGAUAUACAGUCUGUGCAUGCCAGAUCCAGAGGCCAGAUGGUGGAAGGCGGUUUCCUGCAACAUUUAGAUAAUUUACAUAGUUUAAAAAUGUUAUUAGCUUAUACAUUUAAAAAAUGUUGUUAUGUUACGUGCCACGCCCAAGGAAGAUGGGUACUCCCUUGCUGAGUCUGGUCUUUCCAAGGUUUCUCUCCAAACUUUUUGGAGUUUUUUUCCUUGCCACAGUCGCCAAUGGCUUGCUCACAGGGGGUGUUGUGCCAAGUCCUGUCUUCCCCUCGGGUCCUUUAUCUUCAAACUUAGAUUCCAUUUAAUAAGAUAUAUAGUAAUUUAACCAUAAAAAUGUUAAUAAAAAGGAGCUUAAAAGUAAUUUAAAACAAGUAAAAAUAGGCUUAAGAGUACAAAUAAAGCUUAGUCAAUCAUAUCAUCACAAUUUAGGAUAUUUGUAUGCAGUUUAGGUUUGAAUAUGUUUGCUUGUAAUAAAUACUAAUGAGUAAAAUAUUUGCACCAUAAACUAUUAAGUGUUAUAAAUCAAUAGUUUAACUUUUUUUUUUCUCAGAUUAGAGCUGCA